Molecule: long non-coding RNA, 1026 nt
Organism: Homo sapiens (human)
Lineage: Eukaryota; Metazoa; Chordata; Mammalia; Primates; Hominidae
Exons: 2
Source: RefSeq, a predicted model, not a curated record
AGACGCGGCGGCCGGGCGGUCGGAUCCGUGAGCCUCGGCCGCUGGGGCUACAUACACAGCCCAGGACGCCACAGAAUCGCCGAGGCCCCGCGAACGCCCAAACGGCCGCAAGUCGAAGUGAUCCCAUCUGAAGAAGACAGCGCGAGGAAGCGAGACCCUGCUGUGUGCCGGCCCCCGGAGGGCGCCCCGGGCCCUGUGGGUCGGAGGGUGGGGAAGCACAGAGAAACACGCAGGCAGUAAAACGUUAGGAGGACAGGGGGUGCCAGCGUGCAGGAAAUGCUGCUAAGAGACCUUUAGGAGCCAAGGGGAAAACGGAGAGAUUGGCAGUUCCAGGCACCCACAUCCCAGCGCGGUCCGCUCACCCCUUCCUCCCUGCCCUCCAGGCAGCGCUCAGCCCACGGUAGAAAUGUCUUGCAUCUUUUUUCCGACGAGGAAGAAUUGAACUUUUUAUACCCAACUUUUCUGCUUUCUUAGAAAUGUUGACUCACCUGUGAGGAAGCAUUAUUUGAAACUAUUAUUGUAAAUUGCUUGACAUUUGAAUUAGAUGCUGAAAGAUUAAAGGGUCUCAGAAGAAUCUUUUAAGCUAGACUGGAAUUGACUCUGCCUAAAUGGACAGCAACAGUCAUCUAUACGCAGGAAUAAUAAAGCAGGUGGAGGCAGCCUCUAACUUACCUUCCAGCCACACCGUAGAAUUUCCUGAGCAGGCUUUUUUGUCAGAGUUUUGAGCUGGGUUCCCUGAGACUGGAUUGGGGCUUUCAGUUUCUCCCCUUCUAGAGUCAGACUUCUUCCUGAAGAAAAAGUGUUAUCUCUACUUCCCUAUCACAAACACUUCCUAGAACACAGCCCUGUUAAAAGGUCCUGAGUGAGCCCCUUUGCUGUGCAGAACAAUGGUGAUACAUACAGGCGAGAGCAAAACCCACGAGGUGUCCACCUCACGGCCGACCACAAGAGAUCCUCAAGAGACACAUCUCAGGAAUGAUUCUGAACCUUCUUCACCAAAUAAAAUAUUCCAGAAAUAGUAUUAGA